Molecule: ribosomal RNA, 497 nt
Filed under: uncultured bacterium
Lineage: Bacteria
Description: partial 16S ribosomal RNA
Rfam family: Bacterial small subunit ribosomal RNA
Source: RNAcentral
GAUGAACGCUGGCGGCGUGCCUAAUACAUGCAAGUCGAGCGAACAGACGAGGAGCUUGCUCCUCUGACGUUAGCGGCGGACGGGUGAGUAACACGUGGAUAACCUACCUAUAAGACUGGGAUAACUUCGGGAAACCGGAGCUAAUACCGGAUAAUAUAUUGAACCGCAUGGUUCAAUAGUGAAAGACGGUUUUGCUGUCUCUUAUAGAUGGAUCCGCGCCGCAUUAGCUAGUUGGUAAGGUAACGGCUUACCAAGGCAACGAUGCGUAGCCGACCUGUGAGGGUGAUCGGCCACACUGGAACUGAGACAGGGUCCAGACUCCUACGGGAGGCAGCAGUAGGGAAUCGUCCGCAAUGGGCGAAAGCCUGACGGAGCAACGCCGCGUGAGUGAUGAAGGUCUUCGGAUCGUAAAACUCUGUUAUGAGGGAAGAACAAAUGUGUAAGUAACUAUGCACGUCUUGACGGUACCGAAUCAGAAAGCCACGGCUAACUACGUG